This 253-nucleotide ribosomal RNA is filed under the name uncultured bacterium. Its description in RNAcentral is "partial 16S ribosomal RNA". It matches the Rfam family "Bacterial small subunit ribosomal RNA", at positions 524 to 776 of the family's 1533-position model. The record is from RNAcentral.
UACGUAUGGUGCGAACGUUGUUCGGAAUCACUGGGCAUAAAGAGCACGUAGGCGGUUGAGCAAGUCUACUGUGAAAUCCCCCGGCUUAACCGGGGAACUGCGGUAGAUACUACUUGACUUGAGUUCAGGAGGGGAAAGUGGAAUUCCAGGUGGAGCGGUGAAAUGCGUAGAUAUCUGGAGGAACGCCGGUGGCGAAAGCGACUUUCUGGCCUGCAACUGACGCUGAGGUGCGAAAGCUAGGGGAGCAAACGGG